AAGCGGAGGAAAAGAAACCAACAGGGAUUGCCUUAGUAGCGGCGAGUGAAGCGGCAAAAGCUCAAAUUUGAAAUCUGGCACCUUCGGUGUCCGAGUUGUAAUUUGAAGAUUGUAACCUUGGGGUUGGCUCUUGUCUAUGUUUCUUGGAACAGGACGUCACAGAGGGUGAGAAUCCCGUGCGAUGAGAUGCCCAAUCCUAUGUAAGGUGCUUUCGAAGAGUCGAGUUGUUUGGGAAUGCAGCUCUAAGUGGGUGGUAAAUUCCAUCUAAAGCUAAAUAUUGGCGAGAGACCGAUAGCGAACAAGUACAGUGAUGGAAAGAUGAAAAGAACUUUGAAAAGAGAGUGAAAAAGUACGUGAAAUUGUUGAAAGGGAAGGGUUUGAGAUCAGACUCGAUAUUUUGUGAGCCUUGCCUUCGUGGCGGGGUGACCCGCAGCUUAUCGGGCCAGCAUCGGUUUGGGCGGUAGGAUAAUGGCGUAGGAAUGUGACUUUGCUUCGGUGAAGUGUUAUAGCCUGCGUUGAUGCUGCCUGCCUAGACCGAGGACUGCGAUUUUAUCAAGGAUGCUGGCAUAAUGAUCCCAAACCGCCCGUCUUG
Molecule: ribosomal RNA, 592 nt
Filed under: Meyerozyma guilliermondii
Lineage: Eukaryota; Fungi; Ascomycota; Pichiomycetes; Serinales; Debaryomycetaceae
Description: LSU rRNA
Rfam family: Eukaryotic large subunit ribosomal RNA
Source: RNAcentral